RNAcentral lists this long non-coding RNA (201 nucleotides) under Homo sapiens (human). RNAcentral describes it as "LHRI_LNC541.1". Lineage: Eukaryota; Metazoa; Chordata; Mammalia; Primates; Hominidae. The record is from RNAcentral.
CCUCCCGGUGGGAAGGCAUCCGGCCCCCCGGCUGAGUUAGGGGUUUAGGCCAGGUCAAAGGCCGGGGAGUGGCAGGGGGGCACCAUCUGAGGUCUUGGGCUGGGACAUAGGCACCCGCCGCCCUAACCAGCGGUGUCUAGCGAGUUUGUUUCCAAGAAGGGUGUCGGCUAUGGAAAAGCAGGACCCACUGGGAAGGCUGGG